CGCACAGAAGCCCAACGGUCGUCAUCGCGUUUUCGCCCCCGUGCCCAUGCCACACGGGCGCGCGUCACGUGCUUGUCUUCGUGAGCCUCUCUCUCUCUCUGCGUCUGUGCGCGCCGCCGAAGCGUGGUGCUCGAUCCGCCCACACACACAGACCUACACUCUCACCCAAGAGGCAGAGGUGUACAAGGCGCACGCUGACAAGGAGCCCUCAUGGACGUUGCCAUCGCGCAGCUACGUGGGUGCCUCGAAGAGCUUCUCGCCUAUUACCCGCACGUACUGCGCAAUGUGUUCGAUGCAGAGCCCUCACCGCUGGCCGCACCCGAACUGCCCCAGCAGCGACCGCACGACUCCUCGGCGCUAGCGGAUGCGAUUGAGGAUUUCCUGACGGAGCUCACCAGAAUCCUCUCCAUUGGCCUCUGCGAUGACGAUCUCGGACUGUGGUCGGUGCUAGAGCUGCUCGAGUGCGUGCCAGAUCGCAUGCAGGCGGUCGCCGAGGCGACAGCAACAGCAACGGAGACGGCCGCCCUGGGCAAGCACAGAGCGCGAGGGCCGCUAAAACAACUGCAGCGGUUCCGCUUUGCGUCCCAGCUCGUCUACUUGGUGCGGAGCGCGUUUCCUGCUACCGCGCCCGCACUGCGGGCCCGAAUUCUUCUUCGCUUGACACUCAACCAAGGGUGUCUCCUGGCGGCGCUUGAGCUGCUCCGGGAGUGGUGCUGGCCAGAGCUGCUUGCGUUCUACGCUGCUAGUGACGGAGGCCGUAGCAACGGUGCGGCGGGCUCAGCGCCGUCUGUGGCAUUAUUAGUGCAGUCUGACACGGACAGCGACAUGUGGAACUCCUUCGUUGCCGCUAUCGCACCAGUGGCGGGCCCACCAGUGGCUGAGAUCGCAGCCGGUGCGCCGAAGGUGGCUGCCCAGCCCUUUCACCUGCAGCUCCUCGUCCCCGGGCUCGACGAUAGCAGUGCAGCCUCACGCGACUACUACACACAGGUGGAGAACUACGCCUGCGGUCGCCAGCCCACGCGGCCGUCCGCACUGGCAUGCUAUCGCGCUGCUCUCCGGCAGCAUUCCAGUUCAGCGAGGAAGGACGACCGAUCUUUUCUUGCUGCCUCCUCAGGCGAAGGCGCCGCGUCCUCUCCGCAGCUCAGCACUCACCCCGCCGAGCAGCUCGUUCUGCGAGUGGAGUCGCUGCCGGUCGACCGUCGCACCGCAUUAGCAAAGGGAGCAGCGCCUGUGUCGAGAGGCAAUGUGUCCUACGGCUCCUCGUCCACCUUGUCAUCACGCCCCAUGACCCAGGAGUCGCUCUCUUCCGUGCACCGGGAAAGACUCCGAGGCGCGAAGAAGCGGCGGCGACGGCAUCCCUCGCUCUCCACAGCGGAGGCAGUAGCGCAUGACAAGGACGCAGCGGGGUCGCCAACGCCGGAGGGCAAACCAAGCAACAUCACAAGCGACAACACCGGUAGCGCCGCUGAGGCGGCGCCGCAUACAUCAACGGUGGUGGCAGAGGUGAGGGAGUGCCAAGGUGCUCCGGGGGCGGGAGAAAAAGCAGCACUCCCAUACAGGAAGGAUUGUGCUUUUCAGUGUGAUGACCCGCAGGUGGCACCGACGCUGGAUGAGGCUGGGGCUGCUCAAGCAGCGAGUAGGGCCCUCGAUACCGUCUCGACAGACUCACCUGCCGCCGCCUCUCACCGCUUAUCUCCAGCGCUGCACGCGGCUGAAUCGUCUAACCGGACUCUCGAUUCCAUGUCUACCCUCGCGCUUUCUCCGGAGCUACGCAACCUCCGGCACCGCUUGUGGCUGUGCUGGCUGGCUGUCGUGACGCACGCUGAGUCUGAGGAGCGUAUACGUAUCGCCGUGCAUGAUGUGGAUGCCAACACCUCGUAGAGGGGGGCUGACCCGAUGAC
This 1901-nucleotide unclassified non-coding RNA is filed under the name Leishmania donovani. Its description in RNAcentral is "gene:LdHU3.24.2020(CDS-product:hypothetical_prote in_conserved)". The record is from RNAcentral. Lineage: Eukaryota; Euglenozoa; Kinetoplastea; Trypanosomatida; Trypanosomatidae.